Non-coding RNA from Brugia malayi, 129 nucleotides. NCBI's taxonomy places the organism in Eukaryota, Metazoa, Nematoda, Chromadorea, Rhabditida, Onchocercidae. The record is from RefSeq and is a predicted model, not a curated record.
CAUCUCAAAAGCCAGGACGGUCAGUAGCUUCAUAUGUGUUCUUCGUUGAUAAGUACACUUUGUUGUAUUGAAAAUGAUAUUCGAAGCACCAUGUGAAGCUGCUCUCUGACCUUGGAUGAAUUUCCGUAG